Molecule: ribosomal RNA, 497 nt
Filed under: uncultured bacterium
Lineage: Bacteria
Description: partial 16S ribosomal RNA
Rfam family: Bacterial small subunit ribosomal RNA
Source: RNAcentral
GAUGAACGCUGGCGGCGUGCCUAAUACAUGCAAGUCGAGCGAACAGACGAGGAGCUUGCUCCUCUGACGUUAGCCGCGGACGGGUGAGUAACACGUGGAUAACCUACCUAUAAGACUGGGAUAACUUCGGGAAACCGGAGCUAAUACCGUAUAAUAUAUUGAACCGCAUGGUUCAAUAGUGAAAGACGGUUUUGCUGUCACUUAUAGAUGGAUCCGCGCCGCAUUAGCUAGUUGGUAGGGUAAAGGCUUACCAAGGCGACGAUGCGUAGCCGACCUGAGAGGGUGAUCGGCCACACUGGAACUGAGACACGGUCCAGACUCCUACGGGAGGCAGCAGUAGGGAAUCUGCCGCAAUGGGCGAAAGCCUGACGGAGCAACGCCGCGUGAGUGAUGAAGGUCUUCGGAUCGUAAAACUCUGUUAUUAGGGAAGAACAAAUGUGUAAGUAACUAUGCACGUCUUGACGGUACCUAAUCAGAAAGCCACGGCUAACUACGUG